Molecule: ribosomal RNA, 383 nt
Filed under: Lecanicillium sp.
Lineage: Eukaryota; Fungi; Ascomycota; Sordariomycetes; Hypocreales; Cordycipitaceae
Description: partial small subunit ribosomal RNA
Rfam family: Eukaryotic small subunit ribosomal RNA
Source: RNAcentral
AGCUCCAAUAGCGUAUAUUAAAGUUGUUGUGGUUAAAAAGCUCGUAGUUGAACCUUGGGCCUGGCUGGCCGGUCCGCCUCACCGCGUGUACUGGUCCGGCCGGGCCUUUCCCUCUGUGGAACCUCAUGCCCUUCACUGGGUGUGGCGGGGAAACAGGACUUUUACUUUGAAAAAAUUAGAGUGCUCCAGGCAGGCCUAUGCUCGAAUACAUUAGCAUGGAAUAAUGAAAUAGGACGUGUGGUUCUAUUUUGUUGGUUUCUAGGACCGCCGUAAUGAUUAAUAGGGACAGUCGGGGGCAUCAGUAUUCAAUUGUCAGAGGUGAAAUUCUUGGAUUUAUUGAAGACUAACUACUGCGAAAGCAUUUGCCAAGGAUGUUUUCAUUA